CGGUGGGGGGGGGGGUCCUCCGCAUCGCGUGUGGAGCUCCGCGCGUGCCGUCUCGGGCGCUUCGUCAUCGUCGUCGUCAUCGUCUUCGUCGUCAUCGUCGAUGGGGCGCGCGAGCGCUGCGAGUGUGAGGGCGGCGUUUCGGUUGGCCCCCAGCUCGGAGCGGCGGUGGGGCCGGGCACCUGUUUCGGAUUUCGUGGAUCGCCUAAUUAUUGCGCGGCUCUCUCAACCUGAACCAACAACGACGCCGCCGCCGCAAUUUGGUUGCCGGGACCGAGUUGAUGGCGUGAGCUGUAACAAUAAAGCGUCGCUGGCGAUUACUGAAAGGUGCGUGACGUCAUUUAUGGACGGCCCCUUAGGCGAAGCAGAGAAAGCUGCUGAAGACGGUCCCGCAUGUCGUGGACUUGUUUGCGGCCUGCUGCUCCACAGGGAGCGAAGAGGAGCAAGGGAGUAACCCAAACAAAGCGGCGUUGUGGACGAGGACGACCACGCACUGCGAUGGCCCUGUGUGUACCCCCUCCCCACUACACACCAACUCGACUACUGGCGUGUGGCGGGUGGCCCGCACCGUGAUGAAGAACAUGGUGAAGAAGUAGACCAUGGCCUCGAUGUGGAAGCGGCGCUUGGCGGCGAUGCUGACGGUGGGCAGGAAUGCGAGGCCGCUGAUCGUGGGCAGAAACAUCUU
This is a long non-coding RNA of Petromyzon marinus (sea lamprey), 682 nucleotides long. RefSeq lists it as uncharacterized. Lineage: Eukaryota; Metazoa; Chordata; Hyperoartia; Petromyzontiformes; Petromyzontidae. The record is from RefSeq and is a predicted model, not a curated record.